UUUUUUGAAAAAAAAAUAUUAAGAAAAUGAAAAAAGUAUAGUGAUAAACAAUUAUAAAUAUAAUAGGAAAAGUGACAUUAUUUGGGACAACUUAUUUUUCAAAACGACUUAUAAGUCGGGACGGACGAAGUAAUUAAUAUUAACAAAAUAAUGAUUUGAAGGCUAUAAAUUGGCUUUCAUCUUCAACAAAUUCUUUCAUUCUUCACUUCCCUACAAUUGGUUUGCAGUUUAUGCGGGGAUCCUACGACGGUCAUCAAAGAUUAUUUCAUUUCCAUCAUUUAAGAUUAUUUGAUGCAUUAUUUCAUUUCCAUCAUUUAAGAUUACAAAGUCAUAAAUUCAAGUUCCUUGAACUUAGGAAAAACAAAAGAAGAAAAUAAUAAUUAUUGCCUGCAUGCCCAAAAAUUAAAUGAUAACAAGUGGGAUAUUCUAGAAAAAGGUAAAUUGUACAUUUCUCUUGCUAGAUAAAGAACUCAUUCAUCUCAUCAGGAUGUUUUAGAUCGGUACACAAUUGCCUUUACGACACCUAACAUUAACUCUUCCAAAUUUUGGACAAUCUUUAUCUGUUUUACAAGCACUAUUAAAAAUCUGACUAAAAGAAGAAUUAGAUACUGUUAUGCAAAGAAAUAUAGAAAGAAAUAAAAUUAUAAAAUAAACUAACUUCGGAGUUUCAACCAUAUUUUUUCCUAUUUGCAUCCAAAUAAUAGUAAUGACUUGAUCUUUUUAUAGUGUAUAGUAAAAAUUCAUGGUCUUAGAGAAAUAAUUAAAUAGUUUAAGCAUUAUAAAAUUUUAAAAGCCCUUCAGAAUUUUAGAAUUAUUACUAAAUGUCUCUUAAAUAUAUCAAUGUGUUAUUUUUGUUCCUUUAGCACACUUAGGAAAGACUUCAUGUAAUAAAAAUAGUAAUCAAUAUAAUUGAAUACAAUUUUACAAACUUUAGAUUACUUUUUCCUGUAAAUAAUUG
Molecule: long non-coding RNA, 958 nt
Filed under: Medicago truncatula (barrel medic)
Lineage: Eukaryota; Viridiplantae; Streptophyta; Magnoliopsida; Fabales; Fabaceae
Description: long non-coding RNA (MTRU_LNC001575)
Source: RNAcentral